GCUCACUUCAGCAGCACAUAGAGUAGUUGGAAUGCUGCAGAGAAGAUUAGCAUGGUCCCUGUGCAAGGAUGACAUGCAAAUUUGUGAAUCGUUCCAUAUUUUU
Manis javanica (Malayan pangolin) is the source of this 103-nucleotide small nuclear RNA. NCBI's taxonomy places the organism in Eukaryota, Metazoa, Chordata, Mammalia, Pholidota, Manidae. The record is from RefSeq and is a predicted model, not a curated record.